This 253-nucleotide ribosomal RNA is filed under the name uncultured bacterium. RNAcentral's name for it is "partial 16S ribosomal RNA". It matches the Rfam family "Bacterial small subunit ribosomal RNA", at positions 524 to 776 of the family's 1533-position model. The record is from RNAcentral.
UACGAAGGGGGCUAGCGUUGUUCGGAAUCACUGGGCGUAAAGGGCGCGUAGGCGGCCGUUCAAGUCGGGGGUGAAAGCCUGUGGCUCAACCACAGAAUGGCCUUCGAUACUGUUUGGCUUGAGACCGGAAGAGGUCAGUGGAACUGCGAGUGUAGAGGUGAAAUUCGUAGAUAUUCGCAAGAACACCAGUGGCGAAGGCGGCUGACUGGUCCGGUUCUGACGCUGAGGCGCGAAAGCUAGGGGAGCAAACGGG